AAAUGUGGCCAUACCAGCCUGUGUUUGCCUGAUCUCGUUAGAUCUCUGAGGCUAAGCAGGUCUGGGCCUGGUUAGUAGGUGGAUGGGAGACCACUGAGAAUUCCAGGUGCCACAGUGG
This 118-nucleotide ribosomal RNA is filed under the name Gouania willdenowi (blunt-snouted clingfish). The record is from RNAcentral. Lineage: Eukaryota; Metazoa; Chordata; Actinopteri; Blenniiformes; Gobiesocidae.